GACGAACGCUGGCGGCGCGCUUAACACAUGCAAGUCGAACGGAAAGGCCUGCUUUCCCUUGUGGAUUGCGGGUACUCGAGUGGCGAACGGGUGAGUAACACGUGAGUGAUCUGCCCCCAACUUGGGUAUAAGCCUGGGAAACUGGGUCUAAUUCCCGAUAGGACUGCAGGGUGGUGCCUGUGGUGGAAAACGAUUUUCUAGUGGUUGGGGAUGAGCUCGCGGCCUAUCAGCUUGUUGGUGGGGUAAUGGCCUACCAAGGCGGCGACGGGUAGCCGGCCUGAGAGGGUGGACGGCCACAUUGGGACUGAGAUACGGCCCAGACUCCUACGGGAGGCAGCAGUGGGGAAUAUUGCACAAUGGGCGGAAGCCUGAUGCAGCGACGCCGCGUGGGGGAUGACGGCCUUCGGGGUGUAAACUCCUUUCGACCGCGAGGAAGCCACCUGGUGGGAAGGGUGGUGACGGUAGUGGUAGAAGAAGCACCGGCUAACUACGU
This 493-nucleotide ribosomal RNA is filed under the name uncultured bacterium. Its description in RNAcentral is "partial 16S ribosomal RNA". It matches the Rfam family "Bacterial small subunit ribosomal RNA", at positions 28 to 506 of the family's 1533-position model. The record is from RNAcentral.